AUUGAACGCUGGCGGCAGGCCUAACACAUGCAAGUCGAACGAGUGGCGGACGGGUGAGUAAUGUCUGGGAAACUGCCUGAUGGAGGGGGAUAACUACUGGAAACGGUAGCUAAUACCGCAUACCAUCGGAUGUGCCCAGAUGGGAUUAGCUUGUAGGUGAGGUAACGGCUCACCUAGGCGACGAUCCCUAGCUGGUCUGAGAGGAUGACCAGCCACACUGGAACUGAGGCACGGUCCAUCGUCCUACGGGGGGCAGCAGUGGGGAAUAUUGCACAAUGGGCGCAAGCCUGAUGCAGCCAUGACGCGUGUAUGAAGAAGGUAUUCGGAUUUUAAAGCACUUUAAGUUGGGAGGCGGUAACAACAGAAUAAGCACCGGCUAACUUCGUGCCAGCAGCCGCGGUAAUAC
RNAcentral lists this ribosomal RNA (406 nucleotides) under uncultured bacterium. RNAcentral describes it as "partial 16S ribosomal RNA". It matches the Rfam family "Bacterial small subunit ribosomal RNA", at positions 30 to 526 of the family's 1533-position model. The record is from RNAcentral.